AAGUCGUAACAAGGUUUCCGUAGGUGAACCGUGCGGAAGGAUACGAUUAAUGCGUUGGUCUCCGGGCCCGGAACCUCCAACCCUUUAGUUGGUGCACAAAACCAAUUGUUCGCUUUUGGGCCGUGGGACCGCCCGCGGGAGGGACUGCCGGUCUUAGGCCCGGGCAUGCGCCCGCCAGAGGAAAACCAAAUCUUGUUUUCAAACCGUACGUCUGAGUAAAAACUGUUAAAUCAAUCAAAA
This 240-nucleotide unclassified non-coding RNA is filed under the name plant metagenome. RNAcentral describes it as "partial contains small subunit ribosomal RNA and internal transcribed spacer 1". The record is from RNAcentral.